GGGCGGUGGGGGCGGGAUCGGCUUCACCUGGAUCGAUUGGUGAUGGCUGUGCCCGGCACGCUGCUCAGUGCCGUGGUUGAUUAGCGAUGUCUGCCGCGGCCCCGGAGGGGCCGUCUAAGGCUGACCGUUUACCUACCGUCUGGGGUGUAUGCUGCGUCCAGCAAAGACUCAGAGGGGUGGCCAGGAGCUGCUUCUCUACUGGUGCACGUUCACCCGCUCAGCGAGCAGGGGGCAGGCAGCGGUUGCCGUGGGCUCGGACCCACGCAGGGGGCCCACCCAUGCCCCCACCCCACUCCCGCUCCCGUGGACAGGCAGGCCGCGGUGGGGAGCACUGGACGGGGAGAAGCGUGGCUGGAUGGGGCUCAUCACUCUGCUGUCUGGCACCCUCUGAGGCCGGAGGCGGCUGGAGAGGAGGAAACUGAGGCUUGGAGCUGUAAUGGAGCUAGC
Molecule: long non-coding RNA, 447 nt
Filed under: Felis catus (domestic cat)
Lineage: Eukaryota; Metazoa; Chordata; Mammalia; Carnivora; Felidae
Description: lncRNA (ENSFCAG00000046202.2)
Source: RNAcentral